CUGGGGGAUGAAUCUUCAUUCUCCAAGACAAGAUGGAGUGAGCUUUCAUCAUUUAUUCUACAGCUGGGAGAUACCGUUCUUGUGUUCUAAGCCUUCUCCUCAAGGAUCACACACAAGGAUGCUUGAGUUCUUUGUGAGCUGCUGAAAUUCUGGGCUUCUGGGACACAAGGAAAAGCCAGCCAGAGAUUUCCUAACUAGAAUACAUGCAAAACCUCCAACUAACUAAGUGCCUUGGAUAUAUACAUUUUGGUAAAUUGACUGAAAAUGCUCCCUAGCAAGAGAGCUGAAUAGAAUGGGCUUCUGGGGAAACAUUCUAAAUGGAAACAAGAUCCCCAAGCAGAAUUUCCAAAGGAAAGAAAAUGAAUAAUCAGCUUUCCUCUGCCCUUCACAGCUGCCCUUCUGCCUAUUCAACAACCAGCAAAGAAGCUGUGUUGUUUUAAGAUGCACGCUAGGGAGCAGAGCAGCAGCUGGCACACACGCUGCUGAAUGCCUCAGCAAGCCCUGGCCCCAGGAAACCCACACCUCACAGGAUUCAGAUGAGUGUGUUUUGAUAGCUUAUGGCUUCAAGGUAUUAAAGGGGGAUUUUCCCGGACUUGCCCAAUCACCCCUGUACAAAACAGAACUGACAGCGACGGAGCAGGUCAACAUCAUUUCAGCCCAGCUUGUCCCCAUUGUACAGAUGAAAAGUCUGAGUGUUGGAGAGGCUGAAUAACUAUGGUCUCACAGCAAGUAAAUGACAGAUCCCAGGAUUCAGGUACAGCACUCUGAUCCAUCAAAAUCCUCUGAACUUUUAGUAGUUUCUAAAUGAGGUGAUAAGUUAAUUUUCUCACUCUGUCAUGCCACAAUAUAAAUUUGUAUCAAAGCAUGACAUUGUACCCCAUAAAUACGUACACCCAACUAAAAUAAAGUCAUCUGUCAACUAAAAGUAAAAUUUAAAAAAUAAAACAUAAAAAGAAAUCCAUCACCCUAUUGUUCUAACGGAGUGGGUUACUUACCAAAGGUGUACAAGUAGGUACAGGAUUCAGAAUUAUUGCUAAUCAGGACAAAGGGUGGGCUGAAGUUUAUCUUUGUACCCCCUAAGAAGGCAGUUAUCCUACUAAGCAAGUUAGUAGGAUAAACACAUUUGCAAUGGAAUAUUUAAGCUACUUAAAAGAAUAAAUUUCUUCCGAGCGUCCAUUCACAUGCAGAUGAUUGACAUACUAAUCAAGGGCCAUUCUCACCUCUUCAUUAAGGCUUGCUCCCUGGGGACCUCUAUUAGGCAUAAAUUUAUACUAAGUUGCCACUCCUGAAUGCAUAGAACAGCGUCUCUAUCUCAGGAAAUCAAACUACUCUACAGUGUUUUCCGUUUGCUCACCUGGCUCUCUUAGGCCCAAAUCCAAUUAAAAAUUUAACCAAGAAACUUACACGGAGUGCAUCCUACCUGUCAGGCACUGUGCUAGGCGCUGGAAAUCUGAGGGCUGGUAAAAUAUGGUCCUUGAUGAGGAAAAAUUACAGAGGUUGAAUUCCUAUUCAUUUUUCUCAGGAAGUCAAAGGUUUUCCAUUAAUGAAGGCUUAAGCGGAGGCUGAAGCCCACGUGGGCAGCGCUGAGGUAGGGAGAGGGCAUCAGAAACCUUCAGAAAUGCCGAUAAUCCUCAGAGUAACCGGAUUCCAGAGUACUCUGUACCACGGAAACCACAUGGGUUUGUAACCUGGCAUGUAAACGUUAGUAUUAUCACACAUUAAGAAAUUGAUGUUUUUAAAGUUUCCAUGAUGAUUAUUCCAAUUCAAUGCAAAGUACAAAGACCUAAAAGCUUUGAAGGAAAAAGAAUGGUUUGAUUGUGAAGGACAGUGUGCCUCCUCUGGUCAGCUUGAAGAUUGAGAGGAUGUGCUCACAGUUUUCCAAUUAUGCAAAUCACAGCCCCGUGAGACUUGAACUUAAUUCUUCUCGCCCCCUUCUGAAUACACACUUUUGCAGUGGGCAAAGCAUACCUCCAUGUACUGUUGAACAGUAAGUAAUGAAUUUUUCCAUUCUUUUGGCGGCUUCCUGAAAAGCUUGGUUACCAGUAUUGAGUCAGUGAGUCAGCGGAGGCCCUGCCUGAACCUGAGGGGUGCGCAUCAGAGCUUCUGAAAGGUAAAAGAAGGCUCAUUUGCAAACAAAGCAAUACUACGGCCUGCUGCUUUGAUUUGUUUUUACAGUUUCAA
Chinchilla lanigera (long-tailed chinchilla) is the source of this 2181-nucleotide long non-coding RNA. The record is from Ensembl. Lineage: Eukaryota; Metazoa; Chordata; Mammalia; Rodentia; Chinchillidae.